GACGAACCGUGCGAACGUUGUUCGGAAUCACUGGGCUUAAAGGGCGCGUAGGCGGCAGAUCAAGUCCGGGGUGAAAGCCUCCAGCUCAACUGGAGAAGUGCCUUGGAUACUGAUUUGCUCGAGGGAGGUAGGGGUCGAGGGAACUUCUGGUGGAGCGGUGAAAUGCGUUGAUAUCAGAAGGAACGCCGGUGGCGAAAGCGCUCGACUGGAUCUCUUCUGACGCUGAGGCGCGAAAGCUAGGGGAGCAAACGGG
Molecule: ribosomal RNA, 253 nt
Filed under: uncultured bacterium
Lineage: Bacteria
Description: partial 16S ribosomal RNA
Rfam family: Bacterial small subunit ribosomal RNA
Source: RNAcentral